Non-coding RNA from Sus scrofa (pig), 921 nucleotides. The record is from RefSeq and is a predicted model, not a curated record. NCBI's taxonomy places the organism in Eukaryota, Metazoa, Chordata, Mammalia, Artiodactyla, Suidae.
GGCCAGUUCCUAUUCCAUCUCCCUGCUGCUUCUUGCCUCAGAGUGGUGGGUGCACCAAGAUUGGCAUUCGGCCCUAGGAAGCAUAUUGGAACAUUUUGGCCCAAAAGAGGAGGCUCAAAGAGAUCUUUUUCUUUUCGUGAUUCUACGGAAAAAUACUGGAAGAGAAAAAAUAGCUAAUGACCAAUGUACACAAUUCUGCAUAUUAAAAUGAAGAAAAUUUGAUUAAUAGCAAAAACUCCACAAGAUAAAUCAGCAACUCUACAAUUUUACAAAAUUUCUUCUCAAAUCUGAGGCUAAAAUUUUUGACAGAAGAACCUAGAAGUUAAGAAUUCUUCAUACUGGUUUUAUUUAACAACAAAUCACCUUGACUCAAGGAUACUUACUGAGUGCCUUUCAUGAGAAGAAAACAAACCACAGUGGAGCUGUCUUAGGCUUUGCAAGGGAAAUGGAGCCACUGCAAGGUCUGUAUCUCCCCUCCUCACUCAAUUCCUUGUCUCUUCUCUGCUCCUAUUUGCUUGCACCCACAGCUGCUUUCACCAAUCUGUACUUCUCUCACUCCCUCACUUUAGUUUGUCCUGACAGUUAUCCUCUUCUGAGCUUUCAUUUUUACAAACUUUGCCAGCUGAGCAAUGAUGAAUUUUAUAGCCACAUAUAAUUUCCCUUUCUUCUCAACUAUGUUUUUUGCUAGCUACUGAGAUAACUUUUCUGUUCCCAAACAGGCUGUAGCUAAAAGAGAGGGAUCUGGAAACUGAAUCCUUAAGAUACCUGGAUAUUCAAAUACAUCUACUGAUUUGACUGGACUGCUUUCUCUAAGUAACCUAGGAAAGGUGGUUAAAAACCAGGUUUAAUGUUUAUAUGUUUUUCCAUCAUGCUAUGCUAAGACACUUUACAACUUAUUUUAAUUUAAAGCUUCCUAAAUUG